This 854-nucleotide long non-coding RNA is filed under the name Olea europaea subsp. europaea. Lineage: Eukaryota; Viridiplantae; Streptophyta; Magnoliopsida; Lamiales; Oleaceae. The record is from RNAcentral.
CCCCUCCCUCAAACAUGUGACAUAGUUCACAACCGCAAUCGACUUAAGUUUUGCUAGAAAAACAAACCCGUGAGCUACUAACAGCAUGGUUUUUCACUAGCAAUAAAGAAUCAAUAUACCAAAGUUGAUAUUUUGCAAUAAACUUUAGGUUUAAGACAAGAGAGAGCUAUAUAAGGAGAUGAAAAUAAGUUUCUAAAAAAUCCCAUGCUUCUGCUCUUCGAUUCGUCUUUCUGGGAUUCAAUUUCCAUCAAAAAAAAAUCCCUACUAUUUCCAUGAGUUUGCCAUACAAGUUCUUGAAUGCUCCAUGGAUAUAGAGUUAUUUCUUGAAUAACCCGUGGGAGAGACACACUGGCCACUGGAUGUCCAUAUCCAAGUUAAGACAAAUGGUCCUAGUUCCAUGAAAAACGAAGUUAACUAAUUGUGCAGAACACUACAGAAUCCCUCUAAAAGUGUUAAACACUACAGAGGUUACCAUUUUUGACCAGAAUAUAUAGAACUCUCAUAAUAUUCGUAUCCAAAUUCAUUUAUAUAUCUUCUGUAAGGAAUCUACAUCUCAAAAGUGUGUGGCUCUGUGUUUACCUAGCUCAAUACCGUCCCUAUGUCGGCUCAGAAAACUAAAUCGAAAUGAAACUUAUUUCUGAAUGAACCUGCUGUUUGAGGGUUAACUUGGAAUCAAAUCUGAACUCUCAAAUGAUUUGGUGAGUCAAAAUGUGAUGACAAAGGACCCCUAUUUCUCUUCUUUGAAGUCUUUUAUGGCUUUGGGAAAUGAAUCAAGAAUGAAUAGAUGGAUAUGAUGAAAUAGUGGCUUCCACUGAUCCACUGGAUUCCAUUGUUAAUCCACCACGAACGUGAAU